AUACGAAGGGUGCAAGCGUUAAUCGGAAUUACUGGGCGUAAAGCGCGCGUAGGUGGUUUUGUAAGUUGGAGGUGAAAGCCCCGGGCUCAACCUGGGAAUUGCCUCCAAAACUGCAUGACUAGAGUACGGUAGAGGGUAGUGGAAUUUCCUGUGUAGCGGUGAAAUGCGUAGAUAUAGGAAGGAACACCAGUGGCGAAGGCGACUACCGGGACUGAUACUGACACUGAGGUGCGAAAGCGUGGGGAGCAAACAGGAUUAGAUCCCCUGGUAGUCCACGCCGUAAACGAUGUCAACUAGCCGUUGGGAUCCUUGAGAUCUUAGUGGCGCAGCUAACGCAUUAAGUUGACCGCCUGGGGAGUACGGCCGCAAGGUUAAAACUCAAAUGAAUUGACGGGG
This 396-nucleotide ribosomal RNA is filed under the name uncultured bacterium. RNAcentral describes it as "partial 16S ribosomal RNA". It matches the Rfam family "Bacterial small subunit ribosomal RNA", at positions 523 to 918 of the family's 1533-position model. The record is from RNAcentral.